Molecule: long non-coding RNA, 2043 nt
Filed under: Fragaria vesca (wild strawberry)
Lineage: Eukaryota; Viridiplantae; Streptophyta; Magnoliopsida; Rosales; Rosaceae
Description: long non-coding RNA (FVES_LNC000428)
Source: RNAcentral
UUUUCUGAAUAAAGAAUAUGAAUUUAUAUAUGUAAGCAGACAUAUUCUGCUGCACAGAUGUGGUGAAGUUAUGAGAGGCACAGGGAACAGAAACAGCAGGACCGCAAGGAAAAAGGCAUAAAUAGCUUUGUUGUCAAUUUAAUGGGUUUAAAGAAUCUAGCUUUUAGUUCCAAAAAGGCUGAAACCAACUGGCAACAACUGAAAUAUGGGACAUUUUCAAUGAGAACAAUCCAAUAUAAGCACAAUAUUGUACCAUUGUAUCAUAUUCUAAAGUAAGGAGAGACAACAAAUAGUUCAGACAACCUAGCACUGAUGUCCCAAAAUGCCAUAAUCACAGCUGGCUGAGAACUGAAUUCAGCACUGUAAUUAUUAUAGAGACAAGCAAUUCGCUGAACUCUUGAUUAUGGGCAUCAUCAUUCAUAUAAUGAGGUUCUUGUCUCUGUACCUAACACACAACUUGGAAAGGAAAAGUGAUAACUUCAAGUUUUCCCAUUUGCUUUCUUAACAAUGCCAGUAACCCAUCCAACCCAACCAUAUCAGAUUGCAAUUCAGGGCUCCAAAGUCAUAACUGUCACAUCCCGACCCUUAUAUUUUUACCUUAUUUACUAGCGUGAUUAUAAUAAGAAUUUUACCGUCUCGAUCUUUGAGUAAAUAGUUUAAUUGGUCCCUAGAGGGGUUUCGGGGACGAUUAUGUGCGGAGGAUUAUUCGUAUGAGGAAAAUCGACGACGGUAAAAAUGGGUAAUUUUAGCUAGUAAAAGGUAUUUUUAUCGGGUAUUAUUUUUCGGGGUGUUUUUAUUUUGGAAGUUUUGGGUUAAAAGGGAGUGUUGGGUCGGCUGGGCCGAGCCUAACCCAUUUCUUCCUCCUUUCUCUCUCUCUCCCUCCCGUUUUCUCUCUUCCCACCCGAUUUUCUUCUCUCUACACCCAGCAGAAUUCCGGCCGUCCUCCCGCCGUCGUCCGGCCGCCCCAGACCGCCGCACCGGUUCCAAUCGAUCGACCUCAACCCAGCAGCCUUCCUGGACCGGUGAGAGGAGCCCUAGCUCCGCCGUGAGAGAGCGGUGCCACCCGAAAGCUUCGACUGCCGAAUCGGUUUUUUCGCCGGAACUUCCUCCUCCGGCCACCAAUCCGGGCAAGCUUGGUACGGUUUUGUAGCCCUCCUCCCGUGCAACAACCCCUCCAAGCAGCUCCCUCCCUCUUGAGCUAGGUAAGGAGAAAUGUGGAGUUGAAAUUUCUAGGCUUUUAAGUUAUUUUCGUUCGAUUAGCCUAGUUAGGCUUGGAAUUGGGUGAUGUGUUGGUCAUGAAAGUUGUAGAGGAGAUUGAGAGGAAGAUUCUGUUAAAAUUUGGUAGCGUUUGCAGGUCGCCGGAAAACGGCUGCCGGCCGCCGCUACCGGCGGAGCCGCCGGCGGCGGCGCCGCCGGUUGGGAGAUUUUAAUGUUGUUAAAUGUGGAAUAUUAAGAGGAGUAUAUUGGUGUAAUUUAUGGAAUUUUUGGAUGAGAUUUGGAUAGGUUUGUGAAUUUCCGAAGUUUGGUAUUUUUGGCGGUUAAUUAAUGUAGAAUCCGGCCGUAGGAUUUAAGUCGUAUUUUGAGGAGGUUGUAUUUACGACUAUUGAGUAUGAUAUUUAAGUUCGGAUCGUUCCGAUGUAAGAAUAUCGAAGUUAGGCAAUGAUAAGCGUAAUUAUGGCUCUCGGGUAAUUUUGCCUAUUUUGAUUAAAUAUUGGAUUAUUGGAUGGGAAAUUAAUAUUUUAUUUGGAACAGGACGUGAGGAGGCUCGAGCAGACGAGACCCCAGAUCGACAGCAGGCUUAGGCCUAAUUUGUGAGUGGACGUUUAUUUUAAAUAAAUGCAUGCUAAAGUUCACGAUUGAAUAAUUAAUGUCGUGGAGUAUUUUACCGUCAAUUAAUUUUGACGCUUUUAUUUCUCUGAGAGAGAGUUACCGAAAAUGGGAUUUUCGGUGAAUAUAAAUAUGUAUAUAUGAGAGAGUAUGUAUAAAAAAUGCUAGCUAGCCAUAUGUGUCUGUCCACCUUAAUGGCGUAGCAUAUAGCCGCAU